Long non-coding RNA from Musca domestica (house fly), 603 nucleotides. RefSeq lists it as uncharacterized. The transcript is spliced from 2 exons. NCBI's taxonomy places the organism in Eukaryota, Metazoa, Arthropoda, Insecta, Diptera, Muscidae. The record is from RefSeq and is a predicted model, not a curated record.
AGCCAGUUCCACGAUAUCGAAAGAACACGUUCGCACAACUUUUACACGACAAACAGCUGAUUUCCGUUCCACUAAAAUCUAUCAGAACGAAAAUUUGCACGAAAAUCAAAGCGAACGAAAACGUAAGCAUUUCAGUGUAAUUUUGCGUUCCACUAUCUUUUUUCUUUCGUACGCAUGCGAACACAAAUGUCAAAAUCAGUCAUUUGUGUGUUUGCUAUCGUAUAAUAACAAUUAAGGAAAAUUGUUUUAACAUAAACAUUGCUUGAUUGAAAAUGGAAACAAAAAUCACGAAAAAAUCAUCAACUACACAGCUGCGGGCACUAGUUGAGUAAAUGGAGGAGAAUCCUGUGUUCGCCAGAGGAAUGCCAAUUUUUGGAAGCAGCAGUUUUAAAUCGGGGCGGAUUUGGGUAGUUCUGCAACCGGGCACACACUUCUCUUCCAUCAUAUCCAAAAGAGCCCGAAAACUUCCUUCGACACGCGAAAGUUGGCCACAAACCUAGAAAAAAUCAUUUUUUAUUAUUUCAAAAAUGUAAAAAUACAAUCAUACUUACUGGUUGUUAGGUACUUCAAAUAAAUUCGAAGCAUCUCUUAAAUUCCUCCGUG